Molecule: ribosomal RNA, 253 nt
Filed under: uncultured Blautia sp.
Lineage: Bacteria; Bacillati; Bacillota; Clostridia; Lachnospirales; Lachnospiraceae
Description: partial 16S ribosomal RNA
Rfam family: Bacterial small subunit ribosomal RNA
Source: RNAcentral
UACGUAGGGGGCAAGCGUUAUCCGGAUUUACUGGGUGUAAAGGGAGCGUAGACGGAAUUGCAAGUCUGAUGUGAAAAUCCGGGGCCCAACCCCGGAACUGCAUUGGAAACUAUGUAACUAGAGUACCGGAGAGGUAAGCGGAAUUCCUAGUGUAGCGGUGAAAUGCGUAGAUAUUAGGAGGAACACCAGUGGCGAAGGCGGCUUACUGGACGGAAACUGACGUUGAGGCUCGAAAGCGUGGGUAUCGAACAGG